RNAcentral lists this long non-coding RNA (534 nucleotides) under Capra hircus (goat). Its description in RNAcentral is "lncRNA (ENSCHIG00000000918.1)". Lineage: Eukaryota; Metazoa; Chordata; Mammalia; Artiodactyla; Bovidae. The record is from RNAcentral.
CGCAGGAAUUCAGGAAGAACGAGCAAAGAGCAUAAGUGCAGGAUUCUGAGCAGCUAAUGGAGGAGGAAGGUAAAGACGAUGCUGUGGAAAAGAUAAUACAAGGUUCUAAACAAACUGGAAAAAAUGCUUGAGAAAAUGUUACCCAUGAUGAACCACCUAUCCACCCUCAUCAACCAAAGCCAGUUCAGCUCCCAGGCAGUUUUCUUGAAAACUUGCUUAGCCUGCAACUUCUGCAUUGGACUCCUGGCAGUGCUUGGAGCAAGGGGCAAUGGCGACUGCACACCAGGAAACUGGUUCUGCUACCUAAUUUGGUAAAUUUCUUUGGAAAUAAUUCCAUUACCCGUGGGUAUCAACUGGACUUAACAUAUCAACAGCUAAGGAUGCCUGAAACAAUUGCUAAGGAUGCCUCUACAGACCUUCAUUAUAGUCCAUGCAUCAGGUAAGUUUCUCUCUAUUAUAUCCCAUAGAAAUCAGAGUACUGUCUUAAAAUACCAGAAUCCUUUUAUAUUCAAAUUGCUCUCCAUGAAGGACAGC